AAAAUCAUAAGUUAUAUUUUUUUAUUAAGAAAUACACAAUUUUAAUUUAUGUUAGAAACAUAAGGAUAUUAACAUCUUUGUAAUUUUUUUUUUGUUAAAAAAACAUAAUUUAAAAAUAAUAAUUAAUAAAUUAUUCUUAAAAAUUAUUAUUAUCAAGUUAUUCUUAAAAAUCAAAAGAUUCAUUAAAAUAUUCAAAUUAUUAAUUAUGUAUUCCUUAAUUUAUAAUCUAUUUACCUAGUAAGAAAAAAAAAAUAUAUAUGGUAGUUUGUAUAGGAGAAAUAAUAUAGUCUAACUCAUAAUAUAUCACUUUUGAAGUUCAUUUUUCUAAUAGAAAAAUUUAUAAAAAUGUAAUUAUAUGUAGAAAAGAAUUAAUAAAGUUAUUGUGAAAUAAUUUUAAUCUAUAAAUUUCUAGUAUUAGUAAAUUUAUUAUUUGAGUUUUAAAUUAUUUUUAAAAAAUGUUAGAUUUAUCCAUGAUUCCAACACAUUAAAUUUUAUUUAAUUUAAAGUUUAUCAUCAAAGUUCCACGUAUCCUAAGAUUAACUAAAGCAACAACCCCACUUCACCACUUUACCACAUGAGCUAAAAUGAAAAAACAUGUCUCAACCACGUUAGGGAGAUGUGAGAACAAAGAAAAAAGGAAAAAAGAUAAAAAGACUUGGAGAUAAUCUUUAAAAUAUAGCAUGCUAGAAUCUAGAAAUGACUGAUAUAUUCCUCAUCUUAUGGCAAAUAUGGACCCAUUUGAGCUCUCCCUUUGGGUCCUAGCUAUUUAAUCUUAGUUUAGGGGUAGUGCAGAUAGGUUUGUGUUGACCCUAAAGUUGCCUCCUCGGCCAAAUUGGGCUCUAAUGAUGCUAGGCCUCAAACGUGCUGGGCUAGCCCAAAUCCAAGCUAGCUAGCCCUGCCCUGCCAGCUAGCCCAUGGGUCUGCUGGCCCUUUAAGGACCAAAUACUGCAUAUUAAUUCUAGAGACCUUGUCUUUAAAAACUGAAAAUUUGGUCUGCAAAUGGAGUCCUUUCAGGAAAGGCAGAACAUAAAAGUAAGAAAGCAAGAAUCAAUUGAACAAUUGUUAUUGUUUCUUUUUUUGUGCUUGGGGGAGCUGUUUGGACGAAAUUUCUACUGUUGGAAUUCUUAUGCUUCAGUUACAAGUCAUGGUUUAUCUUCUAUGAUGACCACAUGAUGAUGAAUUUUUAAGAAAAACAUUAUUUCAUGUGCUUUAAGAAGAAUCACAUGCACGACCAAAUAGUAUAUAAAAAUCACUACAAUAUUAAAUUAUUUUUUGGUGGCUAUGCAUUCAAUAUUACAAUAUUAAGUUGGUAAUUGUUAGACGCUAGAUAGCCUAUGGAGUAUGCCAAGGAUUAGAAAUAGUUAGAAAAUAGUCAUCAAAUAAAGCGAGUUUCAAUAAUAAUUUAUGUUACUAUUAGAUGCUAAAGUAGUCUAUCUCUGGAAAUGCAAUAAUAUGGUUAUAUUAUUUCCAGAAAUUUAAACAUUAUAUCCAUUUCAAGUUAGUACAUUUAACUUUUAGUGGCUUAUAAAUAAGUUCAUAAACAAUAUUCCUAGCUAUUUCAUUAGGUUCCAAAAUGCCUUCUAUAGGGACAAGCCCAAAAACUAGCCCAUGAUCCUAACUUGGCCUAAGUCGUGUAUGGACAUGGACCAGCCUAAGUUGUGGCUUACCACUAGGCUUGACCCAUGAGCCUAUUGUUGGGGUUGAUCCUUUGAGAGGCAUUUUGGAAUCGAAUGAAAUAGCCUAGUUGUGUAUGGGCUGAUCACUAGGCUUACCCCAUGAGCCUAUUUUUGGGCUUGCUCCUUAGGAAGGCAUUUUGGAACUAAAUGAAAUAGCCAAGAGUUGAUAAACUUGUUUACAAGCCUUUUAUGUUAAUGUUUUGGCUUAAAUGGAUUAAUUUUACAAGACUAGUUUUGUUAACAUUGACCACUAUAUUGUCAUAAGUCAUAUGGUCUAUCUUAUACAUGUCUCAAUUUCAAAUAUAUAUAUAUAUAUAUAUCUACCAAUGAAUUUUCUUAGCAAUAAAUGGAUCUAUGAACCUUGACUUGGAAGACUUUGACUCCUUUGCAUUAAGAUAUAUGAGAGAGGGAAGGAUCUAUGAACUUUUCAAAUAUGGAUUUUAGUGGAAAAGUAGGUAGAAUAUUUCAAGAACGUGAUAAUUUUUUUUUUUUUUUUGGUUUUGUCUUACUUGACUGACCAAAUAAGAUAUUAAUUAAUCUGAUUGCAAAGGUUCCUUGGCAACUUCUUUUAAGUAACUAGGAAAAUUCAAUAUUUAAAUUUGUUUGGUUUGCACUAUCAUUGUCAAAAAAACACAAAAUGUUAUUUAUAAUCUUCUUAUGAAUGUUAAACACAUGUAAAUGUAAAUGAUGAAAUUAUGUAAACUAAGAACAUAUUUAAUUUACGGUCUAGACUAGGACAAAAUAUUAAUGAAAUAUGAUUAUAUAUAUGCUUUUAUUUUUUUUUCUUUUUUGGAACCAAAAUUUUAUCAUUUUAAAAUUAGAUAUUUUUUUAUAUUUUAUUUUGGUUAUUCAAAGUGAUUAACAUGAAUUUUUUUUGAAAGAAAUAUCUAAUAAAUAUGAGAAAUAAAUAUAUUAUCCAAAAUAUAUGUAGAUUCCAUUUUUCAUGAGAUUGUUAAAUUUCGAUAUGAUAAAAAGAAUUAAUAAAGUUAAUAUGACCUUAAAAGAGAGAGAAACAUGUAGCACCCCACAUUUCAUGCCAAACCGCCCAUUUUCCAUGACUUUUCCACCUUCCCAACCACACCCCAACCCCCCUCUUUAAAACCCUUCCUUACUUUAGUGCUUCAUGGUGCAUGAGUAUUGUAUGGGCCGUUUUACUUUCUCUUUUUCUUAUACAUGUGUCAAUUUCAAACAAUCAUAUAGUCCAUUAUACAUGUGUCAAUUUCAAACAAUAGCCUACCAAUGAAUUUUCUUAGCAAUAAAUGGACAUUUUUCCUCACCUUGGAAGACUAACACAUUUGCGGUAAGACAUGUGAUAAAAGAAGAAUCUAUGAACUUUUCAACGACAAGUUUUUGUGGAAAAGUGGGUAAUAAUCUUUUUUGUUUUGUCUUGCUUGACUAACCAAAUAAAAUAUUGAUUGAUCUUUAUUAUGAAGGUACCUUAGCAACUCCUUCAAGUAGCUAGGAAAGUUCGGUCUUUAAAAUUGCUUAGUUUGUACUAUUAUUGCAAGAAAAAGGUAAAUGUUAUUUAUCAUCUUCUUAUAAAUAUUAAACAGAUGCAAAUUAUGAAAUUACGUAAAAUAAGGUCAUAUUUAAUUGAUGGUCUAGACUAGGAUAAAAUAUCAAUGAAAUCUAUAUAUGUGUGUGUAAUAUUUUAAUUUAUAUUAUGAUAUAAAUAUUUUUUUUCUUUUUGAAACCAAAAUUUUAUCUUCUAAAAAUUAGAUUUUUUUUUUUUGUUAUUCAAAGUGAUUAACAUGAAAUAUUUUGAAAAUAAUUUUUUUAGAGAUCCAAUGAAUAUGAGAAAUAAAUUUACUAUCCAAAAUAUAAAUAUAUUCCAUUUUUCUUCAUGAGAUUGUUAAAUUAAUUCAAUAAUAUCAUAAAUCAUAGCCCUCCAAUAAGACUUUGACUACUAUAUUAUCAUAAAUCAUAUAUCAUAUGGUCCAUUAUACAUGUGUCGUCUUCAAACAAUGGCCUAUCAAGUGAAAUUUCUUAGUAAUAAAUGGAUGUCCUUGCCUUGGAAGACUUUGACUCUUUGCAAUAAGAUAUGUGACAGAGGAAGAAUCUAUGAAAUUUUCAAAUAUGGAUUUGUGUAAAAGUGGGUGAUAUAUUUCAAGAAGACAACAAAUAAUCUUUUUGGUUUUGUCUUGCUUAACUAACCAAAUAAGAUAUUGAUUGAUCUUUACUACGAAGGUGCCUUGCCAACUUCUUCAAGUAGUCAAAAAAAGCCAAAUAUUAUGUAUCAUCAUCUUAUGAAUGUUAAAUUAUAUAAUUUAAGGUCAUAUUUAAUAGAGGGUUUCGACUAGGAUAAAAUAUUAAUUUGUUUUUUAUAUAUAAAUAUAUAUAAUUUUAAUUUGUAUUAUAAUAUAAAUAUGCUCUUAUUUUUUUCUUUUUGGAUUUUUUUUAAAUUAGAUUUUUUUGUUUUUUUUUUUGUUCAAAGUGAUUAAAAUGAAAAAAAAAAUCGAAAAAAACAUUUAAGAAAUCCGAUGAAUAUGAGAAAUAAAUUUAUUAUCUAAAAGGCAUGUAUAUUCCAUGUUUUUCAUGAGAUUAUUAAAUCUCAUAUAAAGGGAUAUGAUAAAUAAAAUGAAUAAUCAUUUCUCUUAUCUAUUUUUGAACCAAACAUAAAAUAAAGUUGAUAUGAUCUUAAGAGCAUAGCAUGUAUCUUAGAUAAAGUAAACAAAAAAAUAAAAAAUAAAGAGGUUAUUAUGAUUUGCAAAUAAAACUAAAAUGCAAAUCAAUUAUUUUGGAGAAUAUAAAUGCCCAUUACAACAUCAACAAACGUUCUACAUGGAUCAAAAUUCUUAGCUAGUCGCUUUCAAGUAUCAUAUUCCUUCAAUAAUUCUAAUAAGGCCGGCUUUGUUGAUAUUGACCACCACACUGUCAUAAAUCAUACAAUCCAUUAUGCAUGUGUCAAUUUCAAACAAUGGCCUACAAUUGAAUUUUCUUAGCAAUAAAUGGAUAGCAUCGAAUUCCUUCAACAACUCCAACAAGACUGGUUUUGUUAACAUUGACCACUAUAUUGUCAUAAGUCAUAUGGUCCAUUAUACAUGUCUUAAUUUAAAAAAAAAAAAAAAAGAGUCUACCAAUGAAUUUUCUUAGCAAUAAAUGGAUCUAUGAACCUUGACUUGGAAGACUUUGACUCAUUUGCAUUAAGAUACAUGACAGAGGGAAGGAUCUAUGAACUUUUCAAAUAUGGAUUUUAGUGGAAAAGUGGGUAGAAUAUUUCAAGAAUGUGAUAAAUAUUUUUUUUGGUUUUGUCUUGCUUGACUGACCAAAUAAGAUAUUAAUUAAUCUGAUUGCAAAGGUUCCUUGGCAACUUCUUUUAAGUAACUAGGAAAAUUCAAUAUUUAAAUUUGUUUGGUUUGCACUAUCAUUGUCAAAAAAACACAAAAUGUUAUUUAUAAUCUUCUUAUGAAUGUUAAACCCAUGUAAAUGUAAAUGAUGAAAUUAUGUAAACUAAGAACAUAUUUAAUUUACGGUCUAGACUAGGACAAAAUAUUAAUGAAAUAUGAUAAUAUAUAUAUAUAUAUAUGCUUUUUUUUUUUUUUUUUUUUUUUGGAACCAAAAUUUUAUCAUUUUAAAAUUAGAUAUUUUUUUAUAUUUUAUUUUGGUUAUUCAAAGUGAUUAACAUGAAAUUUUUUUGAAAGAAAUAUCUAAUAAAUAUAAGAAAUAAAUAUAUUAUCCAAAAUAUAUGUAGAUUCCAUUUUUUCAUGAGAUUGUUAAAUUCUGAUAUGAUAAAAAGAAUUAAUAAAGUUAAUAUGACCUUAAAAGAGAGAAAAACAUGUAGCACCCCACAUUUCACGCCAAACCGCCCAUUUUCCAUGACUUUUCCACCUUCCCAACCACACCCCAACCCCCCUCUUUAAAAUCCUUCCUUACUUUAGUGCUUCAUGGUGCAUGAGUAUUGUAUGGGCCGUUUUACUUUUUUUUUUUUUUUUGUUAAUGUGUGGAAUUGUGCAAAUCCGACGCUUUGGAUACAGAUGGAGUGUUAUGUAUGAUUAAAUAAGUAACGACUAAUUUUAGUGAUUUGAUUGAAUCUAGAAAAAUCCAAUAGUAUACGAUGUCAGUGCCCAACCACUUUUUAUGUCGGGGCAUGGUCACUGGCCUGUUUAUGUUACAAGGAAGAUAUCAUGAAGCUUCUUUCACUCUCUCUCUCAUUAUUUCUCUGUUUUUGGUACAAGUACAACAAACAUUUUGAAAUCCUUAGUGAAUUUUUAUAGAAACAAAUUCUAAUUAUGAAGAAAGAAAAAUAGAAGGUCCAUCGCCAUUAAGGACAGAUUUAUCUUUUAGCUCAUUCUAUGACAUAAUCAUCUAUUCCUAUUUUUUAAACCAAAUAUUUCAUAAAUAAAUUUUUAAACUAGUGUCAAGGUUCUAACAAAUGCCUUAUUCUACGAAGUCAUGAAUAAAUUAUGAUUCAAUUAAAACAUGAAGUACACAUUUCCACAUCUUGCCUAGAAACCUGUUAUUCCAUAAAAAGCAUAGAUUAUGGAAGUUGAUUAAGGUGAGGAUUGAAAUUACUAAAAAUAUUUUUUUUGUUAUUCAAAGUGAUUAACAUGAAAUAUUUUGAAAAGAAAUAUUUUAGAGAUCCAAUGAAUAUGAGAAAUAAAUUUACUAUCCAAAAUAUAAGUAUAUUCCAUUUUUCUUCAUGAGAUUGUUAAAUUCAAUAUUAUCAUAAAUCAUAGUCCUCCAAUAAGACUUUGACUACUAUAUUGUCAUAAAUCAUAUGUCAUAUGGUCCAUUAUACAUGUGCCCACUUUAAACAAUGGCCUACCGAGUGAAUUUCUCAACAAUAAAUGGAUAUUAGUCCUUGCCUUGGAAGACUUUGACUCUUUGCCAUAAGACAUGUGAUAGAGGAAGAAUCUAUGAAAUUUUCAAAUAUGGAUUUUUGUGGAAAAGUGGGUGAUAUAUUUCAAAAAGUCCAUAAAUAAUUUUUUGGGUUUUGUCUUGCUUGACUAACCAAAUAAUUUUUUGAGUUUUGUCUUGCUUGACUAACCAAAUAAGAUAUUGAUUGAUCUUUACUAUGAGCCUUGGCAACUUCCUCAAGUAGUCAAAAAAAAGCCAAAUACCAUGUACCACUAUCUUAUGAAUGUUAAACAAAUACAAAGUGAUGAAAUUAUAUAAAUUAAGGUCAUAUUUAAUUGAGGGUUUAAACUAGGAUAAAAUAUUAAUUUGUAUUUCAUAUAUAUAAUUUAAAUUUGUAUUAUAAUAUAAAAAUGCUUUUAUUUAUCUUGUUUUUGUAAUAAAAAAUUUAUUUUUUUAUUUGAGAUUUUUCUUCUUUUUAUAAAAGACAUGAUAUUGCAUGUUUUCGUGAGAUUAUUAAAUCUCAUAUAAAGGGAUAUGAUAAAUAAAAUGAAUAAUCAUUUCUCUUAUCUAUUUUUGAACCAAACAUAAAAUAAAGUUGAUAUGAUCUUAAGAGCAUAGCAUGUAUCUUAGAUAAAGUAAACAAAAAAAUAAAAAAUAAAAAGAUUAUUAUGAUUUGCAAAUAAAACUAAAAUGUAAAUCAAUUAUUUUGAAGAAUAUAAAUGGCCAUUACUACAUCAACGACCCUUGUACAUAGAUCAAAACUCUUAGCUAGUCCCUUUCAAGCAUCAUAUUCCUUCAAUAAUUCUAAUAAGGCCAGCUUUAUUGAUAUUAACCACCACAUUGUCAUAAAUCAUUCGGUCCAUUAUGCAUGUGUCAAUUUCAAACAAUGGCCUACCAAUGAAUUUUGCUAGCAAUAAAUGGAUAGCAUCAUAUUCCUUCAACAACUCCAACAAGAAUGGUUUUAUUAAUAUUGACCACUAUAUUGUCCUAAAUCAUAUGGUCCAUUAUACAUGUCUCAAUUUCAAAAAAAUGCCUACCAAUGACUUUUCUUAGCAAUAAAUGGAUCUAUGAACCUUGACUUGGAAGACUUUGACUCCUUUGCAUUAAGAAAUAUGAGUGGGAAGGAUCUAUGAACUUUUCAAAUAUGGAUUUUAGUGGGAAAGUGGGUAGAAUAUUUCAAGAAUGUGAUGAAUAAUUAUUUUGGUUUUGUCUUGCUUCACUAACCAAAUAAGAUAUUAAUUAAUCUUGGUUGCAAAAGUUCCUUGGCAGCUUCUUUAAGUAACUAGGAAAAUUCAAUAUUUAAAUUUGCUUGGUUUGCACUAUCAUUGUCAAAAAACACAAAAUGUUAUUUAUAAUCUUCUUAUGAAGGUUAAACACAUGUAAAUGUAAAUGAUGAAAUAAUGAAAUAAUGUAAAUUAAGGUCAUAUUUAAUUACGGGCUAGACUAGGACAAAAUAUUAAUGAAAUAUGUUAUAAUAUAUGCUUUUAUUUUUUUUUCUUUUUUGGAACCAAAAUUUUAUCAUUUUAAAAUUAGUUUUUUCUUUUUUCUUUUUGGUUAUUCAAAGUGAUUAACAUGAAUUUUUUUUGAAAGAGAUAUCUAAGAGAUCUAAUAAAUAUAAGAAAUAAAUUUAUUAUCAAAAAUAUAUGUAGAUUCCAUUUUUUUCAUGAGAUUGUUAAAUUCCGAUAUGAUAAAUGGAUAGCAUCAUAUUCCUUCAACAACUCCAACAAGAUUGGUUUUGUUAACAUUGACCACUAUAUUGUCAUAAGUCAUAUGGUCCAUUAUACAUGUCUCAAUUUCAAAAAAAAAAAAAUGUCUACCAAUGAAUUUUCUUAGCAAUAAAUGGAUCUAUGAACCUUAACUUGGAAGACUUUGACUCCUUUGUAUUAAGAAAUAUGAUAGAGGGAAGGAUCUAUGAACUUUUCAAAUAUGGAUUUUAGUAGAAAAGUCGGUAGAAUAUUUCAAGAACGUGAUAAAUAUUUUUUUUUGGUUUUGUCUUGCUUGACUGACCAAAUAAGAUAUUAAUUAAUCCGAUUGCAAAGGUUCCUUGGCAACUUCUUUAAGUAACUAGGAAAAUUCAAUAUUUAAAUUUGCUUCAUUUGCACUAUCAUUGUCGAAAAAGCACAAAAUGUUAUUUAUAAUCUUCUUAUGAAUGUUAAACACAUGUAAAUGUAAAUGAUGAAAUUAUGUAAAUUAAGAACAUAUUUAAUUUAUGGUCUAGACUAGGACAAAAUAUUAAUGAAAUAUUAUAUAUAUAUAUAUAUAUAUAUAUAUAUAUGCUUUUAUUUUUUUUCUUUUUUGGAACCAAAAUUUUAUCAUUUUAAAAUUAGAUUUUUUUUUAUUUUUUAUUUUGGUUAUUCAAAGUGAUUAUUUUUUUCGAAAGAAAUAUCUAAUAAAUAUAAGAUAUAAAUAUAUUAUCCAAAAUAUAUGUAGAUUCCAUUUUUUUCAUGAGAUUGUUAAAUUCCGAUAUGAUAAAAAGAAUUAAUAAAGUUAAUAUGACCUUAAAAGCAUAACAUGCACCCUUAGAUAAAGUAAACAGAAAAUAAGAAGAUUGUCAUGAUUUGCUUGUAAAACUAAAAUAUGAAUCAAUUAUUUUGAAAAAUAUGGUGCCCAUGAGUAUUUUCAAAGCCUUGUAAGUUGGAUAAAGGUUAACAUACAAAAGUGUGGUCUUGGAUUAGAAAAUGUAAGAUAUAGAAAGAAAACACACAAAGAAGGGAGAGAAAUCAUUAUAAUUACUCUGAGAUGGGAAAUAUAUCAUAAAGAUGUAUAAUUACUAAAAAUAAAAUAAACGAUAGUUUGUAUGAUGCCUCUACCAAUUAUUACUCAAAAGAUCAUUAUGCUAAACUCAAAACCACUUUGAGAGACAUAUAUAUAUAUAUAAAGAUUGAACUCAAAAUAUUGCAAUGUACUUUGAGGAAACAUAGAAUAAGAAAAUUGUUUUUAAAUUAAGUUUACAAAUACUUUUUUCUAGAAAAUAAUAAAGAAAUAUGUUAAGACUAUUCUCAUAAAUUAAUUUUUUUUUAAAUGCUACUAAAAGUAGAGAAGCCACAUUCAUACCUGUUAUUCUAUGAAUAAAUAUAAAAGGAAAAGUCUAGUAAAAAAAAUGUCUAUACAUAAGACAAAAUGCAUUAAACUAGUGUCAAGGUUCCAACAAAUGUCUUAUUCUAUGAAGUCAUGAACAAGUUAUGAUUCAAUUAAAACAUGAAGUAUUUGCCUAGAAACUUGUUAUUCCAUAAAAAGUAUAACUCAUGCAAGUUGAUUAAGGUGAGGAUUGAAAUUACUAAAAAUAUUUUUUGGUAAAAUAAAUUAGGAUUUUAUGGUUAUCCUAUAUCCUACUUCAAAUCAAUCUUGAUGAAAUUAUAUUACAUGAUGAGUAUAUGAUCCUUCAUUGAAACUCUCUAACAGGUUAAGACAAUUGUCAAAGCAAAAUCUAAACCCAAACCUCUUGAUCCGCUGGUUUUCUAUAUUGAUUUUCUCUCCAUAAAAUUUUCCCUUAUUCCCUUUGUUUUGUUUAGUCAUGGUGUUCCCCUUUGUAAGCAACUAGUUUCAAUGAAAUCUUAAAACUAAUAACCCAUGUACAAGAAUCAUUAAUGUUUCACUUGCCAAGAACAAGUUAAGCUAAGAUUCACUUGUUUACAAGUCCAUUUCAUAAUCAUUUCAUAAUUAGAGUGAAAAAAAUAUUUUUCUUUUCUAUUAUUAUUUAUGAAUGUGUAGUUAGCAAAUGUUGUAAUCAAUGGUUCAUGAUGAAUGGGAUUUUUGUACAAUAGAAUAUUUUUUAGGCUCACUUUUGAAUUAAGGUCAUGCUUAUCUUUUAACAUAAGUUUUAAAAUAUAAUAAAAUAUUUAAUAAAAUUAAGGUUUAUUUAGACUUAAGUCAAAUUACAAUUUAUUUAGUUUUAAGAUAAAUUAAACAAAUCUCAUUGGAAAAAUUCAAGCUUACAAUAUCAAUUUUCCUUUUUUUGCCACUAAUUUUCCUAUUUAGUAAUGAGAUGCUCUAAAGAGCUUAUUGUUUCCUUAUUAUUAAGAGAAAAAUCAUUAAAAUUAAUCAACUAAAGGGAUCCUUUUCCAAAUUGGAAAAUGCAAGGGAUACCAAGAUAGGUUUCACUAUUAAAAGCAAAUUCCAUGAAGGUAACUAGAAUGCUAAUUGAAACUCACAGAAAUAGAAUAAUUUAAAGUCACUUGAUCUAAAUUACUCUAAAGGUAGGCAUGUAGAGAAAGAUAUACAAUUACAAACAAAAAAUGAUCUCUCAUGAGUCCAAGUUGCAAUCCCUUGCCUAAAAAAUGAUACAUGCAUCAAUUUCUUUCCUCAUUAUGCCCUUAGGGACAUAGGAGACUAAACUAGUCGAGUUUGAGAGGUUGAACGCCAAUUGACAUUCAUUGUCAUAAUCAGUAUCCAAAAAAUAUGAUAAGAUUCAUAACACAAUGGCUGAGAUAUUCCAUGGAGAUGACAACAUGUUGCUAAAAUAAUUGAUUGCUACCUAAUAUUCCAUGGAAAAAGUUGUAUAGAUAAGAUAAAACCCGUUAAACUAGCUUGGCGGUUUAGAAAUUCAUUAAAAAUAGUUAUAUUAUGAACUAGCUUGGUGAUUUUAAUGUCAAUCAAGCAGGACAAAACCAAAAAAUCAAUUAAUUUAUCCUCUUCCUAAAAUUCAUUUCCUAUGUUUUCAUACAAAUUCAUAAUUGAGAGGUUCACGGGUUCUUCCUUUUAUCUCAUCCAACUUAUUGGAUAUUUCAGAAGGCAAAGGAAUCAAGUCCCUCCAAGUGCAAGGACAAAUCUCCAUUUAGUACCAAGAAAAUGAACUUGACGAGUACCUCUAUAUACAAUGGGCUACACAAAUUGAAAAUAAACCCCAUAUACAAUAGACCACACAAAGAAUAAAUCGUAGUGGUACAAUGGUCACACAUAUAUAAUGGACUAUAUUGUUGUAUGAACCACACAAAUUAAAAAUAGACCCUAUGUAUAGUGGACCACACAAAGAAUGAAACAUAGUGAGAAAUUGGUCACAUACAUACAAUGGACUAUAUGGUCCACGACUAUUAGUGAGAAAUAGUUGAUUAUAAAAAAUUCAUAGACUUCUUGAAAUGAUUAUGCUUGUGGGGAUGAUUUAAAAAAAAAAAUUUUAAAAAAAAGUAGACACAUAGCAAUAGGGUUCACAUGUUUCAACAAUGUAGUUAUAUCCAUCAUUGAGUUAGGAAACUUUUUAAUAACAAACCCUAACCCCUAAAGAACUAAUCUAAGUGGUUUCCGAUACUUUCAACUAACACACUAAAGGUUUGUUUGCAAAUAUUUUUAAAAUUAGUUUUUAUAUUUUAAAACAAAAAUAAUUUUCCAACCUUAAAAAUACAUGCAGAUUUUAGAAUAAAAAUAUCAUGAAAAUAGAGUGAUUGGUGUUUUUUUUAUUGCAUUUUGCAUGGUAAAUUACAUUCACCAAGACCUAAUAAAGAAAACCAUUUUUUAGAAGUUCAAAUAGAAUUUUAUUCCUAAAAAUGAUAUAAAAUUGUUUUUAUGAAUUGUUCUCAAAAACUUAUUUUUUAAAAUUAUUUUUGAAAAUAUUAUCCACCAUGCCUCAAAUUUUCUUGUGAGAACCUAACCUUGCAAUUUCCUAGGUCUAAUUUACAAUAUGCAAAAUAAUAUUGCGAGAUCUUCGCAAGUAACAAGGCAACAAAUCACAUGAGAACAAGUCUAUAAAAACUUCUCAAUGUUUCAUUUUAUUCUUUCCACGAUGCAAAGCUCUAGUUUCCAAGAUGAAAACUUGUCCACAUAAAAUUUUCCUUUUUUUCUCAACUCCUCCUAGCCACCUUAAUAGUAUUGAAGCUUCUCCUAAGAAAGCAAGACAUAAUGACUAAGGUUAUUUGUUUGAGGCUAGUUGUUUAAUAAGCUUCCUUAUAGUUGUUUACCUAACCUCAAAGCCUACUCUCGAAGAACAAGAGUCUUCUACAUUUUUUAUUUUUUGAAAUCCAUCUACGAACUUUAUGGAAGAUCUCAAUUAGUGCAAGGAAAGAAACAAUUAAUAAAGGUGGAGCCUCAAAAGCAGCCUAUUUUGUUAAACUAUAGCAAUAAAUAACAAGAUUACAUUAUCACCAUUUAUUUCAACAUGACUAUAACCUAAAUUAAACACUCAUAAUAGACAACUUUUUAUUCUAUUUCUGAUAUGGCUGUCAACUUUGGUUGGAUAGAUGUUUUGCGUCUUCUAACACUUGUCCUUGUUUGUCCCAUAGAGGUAAAAGGAUUAGGAGGCAUAACUAAAUUGCCUUCUUCUCCUUCCAACAUUCCAACCACAAUUUUCAUGGAAGGACGAUCUAUUGGAUACCAUUGGAUACACCAAAGCCCUAUGAUGCUUAGUUUCUUUGCUAUUUUAAUAUCACUUUCUUCCUCAAUUCGGAUGUGUACCUCUUGCUCUUGAUCCAAAUGAUUAUAAAGCCAUUCUGGGAAGUAUGCUUGACUUGUAUUUUCUACUGUAGCAUCAAUAUUCUUCCUUCCCCCUACCAUUUCAAUCAACAACAUACCAAAACUGUAAACAUCUGCCUUAUAAGACACAUUCCCAUAAUUUCUUGAAAACAUUUCUGGUGCAAUAUAACCCAUGGUCCCCCUUGCUGCUGUCAUAGAUACUAAACUUUGCUCCUUAGAGCAUAAUUUGGCUAAACCAAAAUCAGAAAUCUUCGGAUUAAAGUUAUGAUCAAGCAAAAUAUUAUGAGGUUUGAUAUCCAAAUGAAGGAUUCUUUGAUCACAACCUUGAUGAAGAUACUCAAUACCUUUAGCUAUGCCAAUAGCAAUAUCUUGAAGCUUAUGCCAACCCAAAGAAUAAUUAUUACCAAAUGCUGAAAAUAUGAACUUGUCUAGUGACUCAUUUGGUAAAAAUUCACAAAUCAAAGCUUGCUUAUAUCCAUCUGCACAAAACCCAAGCAAGCGAACCACAUUAACAUGAUGUAUCGUACCCAUUGUUCUCACUUCAUUAAUGAACUCUUCUCCAUUCCCUUUGAAAUCAUCAAGGAUCUUCACUGCAACAAAAAUUUCAUUCGAGAGUUUUCCUUUAUAAACGGUCCCGUAGCCUCCUUGACCUAGUUUGUCCUUGAAAUUAUUUGUGAUCUUUUUAAUAUCAGCAUAGGAGUACCUUGAGGGCUUGAGAGCUCUAUAAUCUUCCAAAAACUUUUGAAUAUUUAUUCUAUGCUCUCUUUUCAACUUAUUAGAGCGAUAGACAAUAAAGAUUAUAAAGAUUCCAAAAGUGAAAUGAAGGAAACCAAGGAUUACUUCUGCACAUUGGGAAAAAAAAGGUUUUUGUAAGCAAAUAAAAAAGAAGAAACAAACUAAGAAUCAUCAUCAUCAUGUCACCCUCAUUAUUGAAAAGAACAUGAAUAGGAAAUCACCUGUAAGCACCACUUUAUCUAUUGGGGCACCUGUAAAAGAUAAUAAACUUAUUAGCUUCUUGUAUUCUUUUAAUUAUUAAAAUCAUAAUAGAUUACAUGACGUUGUAACAUGAGUAUAAUUAUUGUUGGUGUAUUCGGAUUUCAGCCUUGGCCUUUGCAGUCCUUUCUACAGGUUUGAUUGUUUUAGCUAAGCCUAAUUGUUGUAGCUAGCUUGUAAUGAAUAAAUAAUAUUGCAUGUUCACAUCCAUUACUAUAGUAGUUAAUUUGGUUCACAUCCAUAAGGGUUCAAUCCAAUUUUAUGGUACAAACAGAGCAUACAUAAGAAAUAUCAUAGAAAAUU
This 14171-nucleotide long non-coding RNA is filed under the name Vitis vinifera (wine grape). RNAcentral's name for it is "long non-coding RNA (VVIN_LNC005564)". The record is from RNAcentral. Lineage: Eukaryota; Viridiplantae; Streptophyta; Magnoliopsida; Vitales; Vitaceae.